AUUGAACGCUGGCGGCAUGCCUAACACAUGCAAGUCGAGCGGAUGAAGGGAGCUUGCUCCUGGAUUCAGCGACGGACGGGUGAGUAAUGCCUAGGAAUCUGCCUGGUAGUGGGGGAUAACGUCCGUAAACGGGCGCUAAUACCGCAUACGUCCUGAGAGAGAAAGUGGUGGAUCUUCAGACCUCACGCUAUCAGAUGAGCCUAGGUCGGAUUAGCUAGUUGGUGGGGUAAAGGCCUACCAAGGCGACGAUCCGUAACUGGUCUGAGAGGAUGAUCAGUCACACUGGAACUGAGACACGGUCCAGACUCCUACGGGAGGCAGCAGUGGGGAAUAUUGGACAAUGGGCGAAAGCCUGAUCCAGCCAUGCCGCGUGUGUGAAGAAGGUCUUCGGAUUGUAAAGCACUUUAAGUUGGGAGGAAGGGAAGUAAGUUAAUACCUUGCUGUUUUGACGUUACCAAAAGAAUAAGCAACGGCUAACUUCGUG
RNAcentral lists this ribosomal RNA (484 nucleotides) under uncultured bacterium. RNAcentral's name for it is "partial 16S ribosomal RNA". It matches the Rfam family "Bacterial small subunit ribosomal RNA", at positions 30 to 507 of the family's 1533-position model. The record is from RNAcentral.